CCUACGGGUGGCAGCAGUGGGGAAUAUUGCGCAAUGGGCGAAAGCCUGACGCAGCGACGCCGCGUGAGGGAUGAAGGUCUUCGGAUCGUAAACCUCUGUCAGCAGGGAAGAACGGUCACUGUGCUAAUCAGCAGUGAAUUGACGGUACCUGCAAAGGAAGCACCGGCUAACUCCGUGCCCGCAGCCGCGGUAAUACGGGGGGUGCGAGCGUUAAUCGGAAUUACUGGGCGAAAAGCUCUCGUAGGCGGUAUGUCAAGUCAAGGGUGAAAUCCCGGGGCUCAACGUGGGAACGGCCUUUGAAACGGGCAAACUGGAGAGUGUGAGAGGAUAGGGGAAGUCCGGGGGUAGGAGUGAAAGCCGUAGAUAUCUAGAGGAAAAUCAGUGGCGAAGGCGACGAUCAGGCACAUAACGGACGCUGAGGAGCGAAAGUGUGGGUAGCAAACAGGAUUAGUACCCUGGUAGUC
This 464-nucleotide ribosomal RNA is filed under the name uncultured bacterium. RNAcentral describes it as "partial 16S ribosomal RNA". It matches the Rfam family "Bacterial small subunit ribosomal RNA", at positions 338 to 795 of the family's 1533-position model. The record is from RNAcentral.